This 229-nucleotide ribosomal RNA is filed under the name uncultured bacterium. RNAcentral describes it as "partial 16S ribosomal RNA". It matches the Rfam family "Bacterial small subunit ribosomal RNA", at positions 568 to 796 of the family's 1533-position model. The record is from RNAcentral.
UUCGCAGGCGGCGUAUUAAGUCAGUGGUGGAAUCCCUCGGCUCAACCGAGGAACUGCCAUUGAUACUGGUAUGCUAGAGUAUAGUUGGCGUAGGCGGAAUGUAUCAUGUAGCGGUGAAAUGCUUAGAUAUGAUACAGAACACCGAUCGCGAAGGCAGCUUACGAAACUAUAACUGACGCUCAGGAACGAAAGCGUGGGGAGCGAACAGGAUUAGAUACCCUGGUAGUCC